AUAUUGUCUAUUUAACAAGACAGAUCCAUUACAGAACAUCAGUUAUUUGAAAACCCUAGUUUAUCUAUUAAACACUUACAGGAAGCCUCCAUGAAUGCUUUUGAGCCUCCGCAUGGACGAUUCCGAAAGCCUGAUGAUUGUUUCUUUAAGAACGGAGAUUUGAGUGUAUGUUCUUUGUAGUAGCCUUCUUACUAGUUGGGCUCCAAAGGCAUCAUGAUAUGAAAUGAAUUUCUUUGGAAGAUGAAAUGAAGGCUUCUUUAGUAGGGAAUUUUGUUUUGCAUGUUGCUUAGGAGUUUGUUCUGAGGAAUGAAGUUCAUUAACAUUAUUAGGGGCAGCUGUUGCUAGCUACAUUGAUGUCUGAUACAACACCAUAUAAGGUUAACAAAUGCUUGUUUGACUAGUUUUUAUUAUUAUUAUUAUUAUUAUUAUUAUUGUUAUUAUUAUUAUUAUUAUUAUUAUUAUGUUAACAUUUGAUCAAUGUUUGGUAAAAUACUUAAUCAACCAAGUUGGACCCCUGUGGCCCUGUAUAAAAAAGUAAAUGUUUAUAAUCUUGUAUUGAACAAUUUGGUCUCUCAAUUUGUAUUUAUUGGUUGGCAAUAUUAUAAAGCUGCCCAUAUUAAUUUACAGUUAUAGUCUAUAGAAUUUGCCUUUGUGAUCUUUUGUUCUCUUUGUAGGCAGACUUCUCCAUGUUUCUUUAAAAAUUGUUUUGAAGGCAGCCCUGACUUCUCUAGAUUUAGGGAUCGAGGCAGCUCUUUCAAAGCAAUAAAAAAAAGAUCAUGGAGUUGGGCCAAUCCAAAAUAACAAAAA
Molecule: long non-coding RNA, 807 nt
Organism: Ipomoea nil (Japanese morning glory)
Lineage: Eukaryota; Viridiplantae; Streptophyta; Magnoliopsida; Solanales; Convolvulaceae
Exons: 2
Source: RefSeq, a predicted model, not a curated record